UACGGAGGGGGCUAGCGUUGCUCGGAAUCACUGGGCGUAAAGGGCGCGUAGGCGGGAUGGCAAGUCAGUCGUGAAAUCUCUCGGCUCAACCGAGAAACGUCGGCUGAUACUGCCGUUCUUGAGGGAUGCAGAGGAGACUGGAAUUCCCGGUGUAGCGGUGAAAUGUGUAGAGAUCGGGAGGAACACCGGUGGCGAAGGCGGGUCUCUGGGCAUUUCCUGACGCUGAGGCGCGAAAGCGUGGGGAGCAAACGGG
RNAcentral lists this ribosomal RNA (253 nucleotides) under uncultured bacterium. RNAcentral's name for it is "partial 16S ribosomal RNA". It matches the Rfam family "Bacterial small subunit ribosomal RNA", at positions 524 to 776 of the family's 1533-position model. The record is from RNAcentral.